CAGAAAAUAGUUUAUUUAAAAAUUUUAAUUUUGGAAAUUAAAGAAGGGAGCUUUCUUUUUUCUGA
Molecule: transfer RNA, 65 nt
Filed under: Sitophilus granarius (granary weevil)
Lineage: Eukaryota; Metazoa; Arthropoda; Insecta; Coleoptera; Curculionidae
Description: tRNA-Pro
Source: RNAcentral